GAAGCUUAGUUUAAUUAAACCGAGGACCUUCAAAGUCCUAAACAGGGCACCAGAGCCCUAACUUCCU
This 67-nucleotide transfer RNA is filed under the name Pachydactylus otaviensis. Its description in RNAcentral is "tRNA-Trp". Lineage: Eukaryota; Metazoa; Chordata; Lepidosauria; Squamata; Gekkonidae. The record is from RNAcentral.